UUUUAUUUUUUUAUUUUGUUUAAAUAUUCGAGGGAUUGAGAAAGUUUUGUGCGAUUUUUUUUGUGAAAGAAUCUUCAUACUGGAUAGCACUUUCUAUGAUGUUUCGGUUUGGGUCUAUCUCCAGUGUGUAUUUUGAUGUCAGCAGAAGAACCUUAUCUUUUUCAUCCAGCUGAGGUUUUGGCUCUGUCCAGUUCAACAAGCUCAAGAUAACCUAAGGAGAGAGUAAAGAAAUUGUUAAUUUAAUCUACAUAUAAAGAAGAUUGAGUUGCUGUGUACCAGUUAUUAUCUGAAAGCAUCACCAGGCACUGGUUUGUUACAGUAGCUAGUCUUGAU
Long non-coding RNA from Dendronephthya gigantea, 333 nucleotides. RefSeq lists it as uncharacterized. NCBI's taxonomy places the organism in Eukaryota, Metazoa, Cnidaria, Anthozoa, Malacalcyonacea, Nephtheidae. The record is from RefSeq and is a predicted model, not a curated record. The transcript has 3 exons.